This is a long non-coding RNA of Acyrthosiphon pisum (pea aphid), 763 nucleotides long. RefSeq lists it as uncharacterized. NCBI's taxonomy places the organism in Eukaryota, Metazoa, Arthropoda, Insecta, Hemiptera, Aphididae. The transcript has 3 exons. The record is from RefSeq and is a predicted model, not a curated record.
UCUUAGAUCAUAUACAAUGGAUGGAGUCAUAGCAUAUUACGCGUAUAAAAUGGGUUGAAGCCAACAUAACUAUAGGAACUAUAGGACCUGUGACAUCUGCGCUUGCGCGACUGUUUAUCUUAACUGCGCGUCUGCAGCACUUUGCGCCAAACAUUAAUGAUAAGAGACCAAGCGCAUGCGCAUAUCACUGAGGUCCUACAGUUAUGUUGGCUUCAUAAAUUGUUCGUAUGACUCUAUCCAUUGUAUAUGAUCUAAGGCUUAUAUUUAUGCCAAUAGGAUUUAUUGGCGAUUGAAAGUGAUAAGAUGUGACGGGGACGCUGUAUAUCAUUUAUAUGUUAUUUUACUAGUUCCCCGUGACAGAUCCACCCCCCGCCGACCUGUUAAUUGAUAAGCUUUCAAUCGUCAGAACCACGAACAUACAAUAGUAAGGACUGGCUACUGCUCGACCAGUGUGAUUCGCUUAUUGUCGCCAUUUCAAUAAUAAUCCGCUAGGGUCGCUACUGUGCGUUCGCCCUAUUGCCGCCAAUGUAGAAGCGUAAUUAGCGUAUACAAACAACAUUACAUUUUUGGGAAAAUUGCCGCAUUCUCAUAUUAAUAUAAUAUCUAAUUGCAAAAGCAAUUAUUUCUUCGCUAUGCUGGAAACAUGGAAAAUAAAUAAUAUUGUUUUUUAAUAAUUCAACAAAAUUAAAAAAAUGUAAAUUUGGAUGAAUAAGUCCACCUCUGGAAGUUAAGUUAGUUAGUCGAGCAACAGGUUCAACCGAAU